This 748-nucleotide long non-coding RNA is filed under the name Citrus x clementina. RNAcentral describes it as "Citrus clementina (C. clementina) long non-coding RNA (CCLE_LNC001960)". Lineage: Eukaryota; Viridiplantae; Streptophyta; Magnoliopsida; Sapindales; Rutaceae. The record is from RNAcentral.
UAAAAAGAAAUAGAGAUAUAGUAAAAUAAAAUUUCUCUCUUUAUCUCUCACGUUUAUGUAUUUACAAUUGGAUUCUUUAAGACUAUCUAUGUUUCAUAAUAAUUAGAUGAAAGAGAUUUGAUAAGUUGUUCUUAACAAAUAUUGCGAUAAGUUGUUCUUGAAUUGAUUUUAUCGUUUUGGUCGUAUUUUCAAACUAGUUUUUUUUUUAAUAAUGUAAUAGUUGUAUUUUGAUUGUAUUGUCAGUUUAUUGCCUUGAGUAUUUGCAGUCAUGGUCUAAAGUUUGUCCUACGCUGCCUAAAAUCAUUCUUUAAUGUGCCUAAAGGCACUAGGCGGCUUAAAGGCUCAUGUGGUUCACAGAGAUUGUUGGCCAUGCAGAAGAAAGUCAAAGGGGAGAGCAACCAUGAGGGGAGGUGCACUUAAGGUAAGGUACCGAAUCUUACUGAGGUGUGAGGUUUUGCAAACUCUUCCAUGAUGUUAAUAUAACUUAAUAUUAACAAAAAUUUAUUGUACACGUUAUUUUAUCAAUUAUACUUAUUGUAACAUUAUUUUUGUAUCAUAUGAUAUUUAUUUAUUCUUUUUAUCCUAUUACUAUAUUUAUAUUUAUUUAGAUUGUUUUAGUCAAAAGGUAUAAUAGUCAUUUAUGAAAUUAAGAGGGUCUAUGUGAUCAUUUAUGAAACUAAAGGGAUAUGUAUGAUUAUUUAAGCAAACCUUAGAGGUGUGGGAUGUUUUUUCCUAAAUUUAAUAUUAA